This 190-nucleotide small RNA is filed under the name Chrysemys picta bellii (western painted turtle). RNAcentral's name for it is "TUC338 (ENSCPBG00000011789.1)". The record is from RNAcentral. Lineage: Eukaryota; Metazoa; Chordata; Testudines; Emydidae.
UUGAGAGCCCUGGAGACUGAACUCUCUCUUUAUCCACAGAAUAGGAGAGACCCAGCAAGCAGCAGUGCGAGCUUCCUGUAGCCACUGCCCCAACCCUGAUGCACAAGGGUGAGAUGGUAAAUCAUAUGGGCACUUGUCCACCAGGAGCUAGACUGAGAUCCAUCAGUCCAUGUCACAGAAGCUAGCAAUA